UCCCGUUUAGCUCAGUUGGUAGAGCGCGUCACUAGUACUGGUUGCUAUGACGAGGUCAGUCGUUCGAGUCGGCUAAUGGGAA
RNAcentral lists this transfer RNA (82 nucleotides) under Laetiporus sulphureus 93-53. It matches the Rfam family "tRNA". From Rfam's summary of the family: Transfer RNA (tRNA) molecules are approximately 80 nucleotides in length. Their secondary structure includes four short double-helical elements and three loops (D, anti-codon, and T loops). Lineage: Eukaryota; Fungi; Basidiomycota; Agaricomycetes; Polyporales; Laetiporaceae. The record is from Rfam by way of RNAcentral.